ACAAGAUGCCUGAUUAAAGGAUUAUUUUGAUAGAAUAAAUUAUGUAAAUAUUUUUUUACUCUUGUUA
RNAcentral lists this transfer RNA (67 nucleotides) under Oxypoda acuminata. RNAcentral describes it as "tRNA-Ile". Lineage: Eukaryota; Metazoa; Arthropoda; Insecta; Coleoptera; Staphylinidae. The record is from RNAcentral.